UUGAUGAACCUUAAAAUUUCACAUUGCAGUUAUUACACAUUCUUUAAUUUUAUGAUUACUUAUAGCAUAUGUAUGUUGCUGGUUGUAUUGCUCUCACUAAGAUAUCUCAAAAGUGUUGAGUGCUGAGGAAAUUCAUGAGUGCUGUGCAGAGUGGGGCAGAAUUUUUCCCAGUGAACAUUGAUAUUUGUCAGAAAUAUGUUUUGGUUCCUACUCUGUUCAAUGCUUGCAUGGUCUGAGAGUUGGGUACUUGUAGAGUUGUGGAAACCAGUGGCUUUGGUGACUUUAAUGUGGAGGAAAGGUUUGUUGAACUUGACUUCACAGAUGAUGGUGUGAGCUUUGCAGGAUCAGUAUAUAGCCUGAAUGCAGAACUUGAGAGCCUGAGUGAGGAAUUGGAGUGUCUGGGUUUGUGAGAGUUAGUAAAGCAUUGAACUUG
This is a long non-coding RNA of Thalassophryne amazonica, 433 nucleotides long. RefSeq lists it as uncharacterized. The transcript is spliced from 3 exons. Lineage: Eukaryota; Metazoa; Chordata; Actinopteri; Batrachoidiformes; Batrachoididae. The record is from RefSeq and is a predicted model, not a curated record.